Non-coding RNA from Xyrichtys novacula (pearly razorfish), 7994 nucleotides. Lineage: Eukaryota; Metazoa; Chordata; Actinopteri; Labriformes; Labridae. The record is from the annotation of a GenBank genome assembly.
UAAUUAUCGCAUAAUUACUGUUGGAUGUCAUGCUAUAAUUUAUACUGCUUGGAGUUUGAUUGACAGGUCAUUCUUGCAGGCAGUGAACAAGCAGAUCUCUGUCACCUUUAAUCUUUGCUCAUUGGCUUUUCUACACAGUGUCCUAAUGUCUUCUAAACACUGUGAAUGCCACUGACACUUUCCAUGUUUAUUGAAUCUGUCAUUUUAAAGCUCUUGUAAGUAACUUUCAUGAAUAACCCCACUUUUAAGUCGACCGUUGUAGCAUCUCUCAGCUUAUUGUUUUGGUAACACUCUCUUAUAGCAUUGUUCUGUGGCAGUCAGUUUCUACACACCUGUUUUGUUUGUCUGUGGCUCAUUAGAUUAGUGUCAUUUCAUACUAAGUAGGACUAAUUAAAGGUCAAUAGAAAGGUUAUACAAGAAAUUAAGAACCUAAAUGUCAGAACUGAAAACCAGGAAAAACAAGGUAAAGUAAAAGUCACGUCUAUAAAGCUCUGUUUUUAUUGUUUACAUCUUGACGGUGACAACGGUGGUUUCAUUUACUAACUUAGAUAAAUCGAGAGUAGCUUUAAUGAGAUGGCUUAUUGCAGGAAAGGUUUGCAUUUAUAUUUGAAUGUAUAUUUCUUUGUCACUGUAAGUGGGCUUUUGUCUUCUUGUGUAUGUGUGAAGAAGUGUUUCAGUAUGCGUUGUCAAGGUAUUUUUGAGUGUAUUUACAACCAUGCACUGGUGUGUGGGUGUGAUCCUGUGGAUUUAUUUGUUGGUUUUGUGUGUAUGUGAGUGUGUCUCUCUGUGUGUUUUGCAGAUGGCUUGAGGAACCCUCUGCCUGUGGCAGUGUCAGAAAGGAUCUUGUCAGGCUGGAAUAAGGGAGGAAGGAAGAAAGGGAGAGAAAACAGAGCGGUGCAGAUGAAGGAAGCUUUGGAGGUUGGACUGCGGUGCCUCUUCCUCAUCUUCUCUUCCUACGUCACUUCUUUCCUCCUUUUUUUUGCACUCUAAAGCAAUCUUCACCUACUUUAGUAAUUGGAAAGAAGGGAAGAUGUGGAACACGAGAUUUCUUGGCUCCGUUAUUUCAGGCCUGUUGAACUUUUUCAUAUCUAUGAAUUGAACAAAAAAAUGUUCACAAUUGCUCAUGUCUUUCCUUGGUCCUCUAUUGGACUAUAAUAAUAUCAGGCUCAGCUUCUUGCCCCUGGCUACAAUUUCUCUUUUAAAAGAACAGAAGCAGAGCACAAAAGUGCUCUCCGAGAGUGUGUUUGUGUGUGUAAAUACUUUAUGUGCAACUUCCAGCCCUGUGAUGGCCUGACCAAUCAGCUCAACUUUUCAACUUUCCCUGAACAAACUUUGUCUAAACCACAGCCGGCCACAGGGAGGGGAGGAGGGGAGGAUGGGGAAUAAGGUGGGAGAACAACAGAGAUGAGAGGAUGAGACAGAAAACUGGCAAAAGAGGCAAGAUAGGGCAACAGUGGAGACGACGCUCGGAGGUACAGAGAAAGGUAAACAGUGGAGGCAGAACAGAGGACGUAAGGUUAGAGGAUGUGGGGAAUCUAGGGAUAUCCGAGGCUAAGGGAGGAAAGACAUUGGCGAAAAGGGCGGCGAGAGGAGACCAUCACGAGUUCAUUAUUCAUUCUCAGCAUGACGCUCAGUCUCUGUUUGCCGUCUGUCUCUUAUCUCCUGGUUUGUUCACCUUUGCAGACAACCCCUACUCUUCUUUUUAGUGUGACAGCUUUUUCUUAGUGUUGCACCAACUCUUAAUAAUUAUUCAUUUUUAGGCGCUGUCUUGGCACCAAUCAAAAAAUUGUUGCGGUAUUAAUACAAGCAAAAAAAACAGUUUUCUCUCUUGCCUGUCCUGUUACUAUUUUAGGGCUGGUAACAGCAAGGGUUCAUCUUAAUACAAGGAGAGACAAUUAGCCACAAGACUAACAGUGUCAGCAGUGCAGCUCUGAUUCGAUUAUUUCUACGUUAUUUACAACAAACUAUCUAUUUGACCAGAAAAACCAGCAUGGUGAGAUUGUAUGUCAGAGGACACUAAAGACAAGAUGGAUCAGGACUUCUUUGUCCAUGCUUUGGUUUUAUGUUAACCAAACUUGCUAAUGUUAGCCUUAGAUGAUUUCGGUGAACAUGAAAGUACUUGAGUUAUUCCAAUAGCAAUACCUCUCUUAGAAAUACUCUUUAGUGCUGCUCAGUAUGUGCUAUCAUUUAAAUGUAGUUCCAGCGUAAGUUCAGUCAGGAAGACAAUAACUGCAGUCACAGCUGCUUAAGUGUCUUUUCCACUCCCACGCCUGCUCCCUUUUCCUGCUGUCAUCAUUCAGGGCAGUCAUUAGUUAAUCAGCCUAUCACAGCUGUCAUUCCUUAUCCAAUAGCAUGGUAGCACACCCUCACAGUCAGCCUAUCCCCGCUCUGCUCUCAUUCUAAAAGUGAAUUUCUUCACCAGCCUAAGGACUCCAUUGGGGGGAUUUUCUUGCUGCCAUGCAGAUCAGACAUCCUACGAUCUCAAAAAUCACCCCACAGAGUCCAAAGGCCAAAGACGUUCUGUCAAGCAUCAUUCUAAUAAUUGUCAAAUAUUUUUUUCUAAUUUUUAAAUGUCUCUCCUGAUUGAACUGGGGUUAGACAAGUCAAUGAACCAAUUUGAUGUAAUUUUCCAGUUUCCCAAUAAACCCCAAUUAAACAGUAUUCUGGUUAAAUAGCAGUAAUCUGGAAAGGGUAAUGAUGAAUAGUGAAUGGGAAGUCAUGUUGAUAAGAAUUUUGGCCCAUCAUGAAGCAAAGGGAUCUUUCACCAUCCAAAUAUUACUGUAAAAUGUGUAUAAAUAUGAUGAUUUUUGUUUUAAGAAAGUGACUUUCUUUAAUGAUUUACAAUAUGUUGAGUAGAUCUGCCUCAUGUUGUUAUAUUAGUGAAGAUAAUUAUACCAGCUAUUAUACUGCUACAGCCUAAUCAAUAUAUUUUUGACAAAAUGAUUAAUUUGAAGGACACUAAGAAUUAAUUUAAUUGGAAUAUAUGAAUUUGGAAUCAAAGUUCUGCAUCAAACAAAGAUGAACGAGUGCUUUGACUAUCAUCCUGAUAAUAAAUGAUGAAUAAAGGAACAGCCUUUUAAAAUGACGGAGCAGUUAUGCCUGCAGUGACAGCGCAGCCUCAUAAUCAAUUUACAAAAUGGUCCGCUGGUUAAGAUAGAUGUCUCAAAUUUGACUAAACAUCCUUGUCUCAUCCUUGAAUUUCCCUCCGAUAUUACUUUCAGAGCCAUUAAACAGCAUGCAUAAAAAUGCCCGGCCGGAGCCAAGCAUAAAUCUAAAUCUCUUUCCUUGACAUCUGUACCUUUGCAUUAAUAUCAUAUUAUGGUAAGUGUCAUCUUUGAUGAUGCAGUGGCUGCCAAGGUCUUCAUAAGAGACUCCACUUGUUUGUUUUUUUCUUUUCUUUUUUUCUUUUUAAUGGUGAAAACUAGAGGCUGCUACAAAUUUACAACAUUUAAUGUAUAAUUUUAAAUCUUUGUGAAGAUAUUUUGUCAAUCUUAAAUUCCUCUCCAGACUUUUGGAUUCAUCCUAACAUUUUCAUUUGAACUUCAGUGUCAUUAUACAAAUCAUAUUUGACUUCUUCUCUCGCUGUUUACUCAUUAAUAUUGAUAGUUUUGUUGUUUUCUUUUCAGAUUGCUGCUUGCUGCUACAUUUGCAUCUAUAUGGGAUUAUGGAUGAGGACUGAGAGUCACUGCUCCUUAGAUCUGGAUGAAAAGCAAACAGUUCUCACUAAAAAAAUAAUACUAUAAAUAUCUGAAUAAGUAUCAAUGUGAGUUGGACUGUACAGACUCGAUGUGUGUUAAACCAAUUAGAUUUAUAGAACGUCAUUUACACUUGUAUAUGUUCUGUCAUUAACCGUUUCUCUUUAUCUCUCUUUCUCUAUCCCUUUGUUUUUUCCAUCUGUUUCCAUCCCUCUUUCUCUCUGUCAUCCUUGUUCUCUUCUUCUGUCAGUCCUGCUGUCAGUGUGGUGCACUUUCUGACAUGCUACGUGUGUCUCUGUGUGUGCGAGAGAGUGUGUGUUAGUGUGUGUGAGAGAGAGACAUCAAAAUAGGUUACAUUUGAAAGAGUCACAUUUUGUAUUCAAACCCUGAGGGGAUGUCUGUCCUUCCACCAAAGGAGAAAUGUGCAAAGCCAUGAUCAGCCCAAAACUGACAAGCCAAAGCUGAAAGUCACAUUAACAAUCAAUAAAGCUUAUGCAGAUUCACCUUACUUGCAAAUAUACACUUUUGAACCAAAACACGCACAAACCCCCCGAGAGAUAUCUGCGCUAAACGGGGAAUAGACACUGUCGCUGAAAACAAAGGUGAUAAAAUGGCCGACAUUACCACCUGUCACUCUCUGUCUCUUCUCCCUUUCACACACAAACACUCUCACAGGUGACCUUAACACAUCCAUUUGUGUUUGCAGAAAAGUGACACAGACUGAGAUCACACUUCGAAAAGAUGCCAGCCAGGCAUCAAGAGCCGCUGGGAUUUACAAAGUCAGAAAGCAGAGCGAGGAAUAAAAAGAAGCUUUCCUGCUUUGAUACGGGUAAGAGUGCCAAUGUCAGGCUCUGAAGGGGGGGUACACCGAAUGGUGACUUCACACUUGGGAAAGGGAAGCCACUUCAUAAUCCAUAAACUACCAUCAGACAGCUGUGUAUGUUAGAAUUCAAUGACCUCCUGACUUUGUUAAUAUGCACUAGCUCAGAUAGUGCAAAAACAACCUUUCAAAACAACACCUAAGAAAGUGACAAACACGUUAAAUUUUGUAAGAAUGUUUCACCAUGUCAAAGAAAAGGCCGAGAAAAAAUAGAAGAAUUUACAUGUUUGAUGAAAGAAACCACUUGACAACAGCUAAUGAUAGCUACCACUCCAUACCUAAAUUCAUCUUAGCUUUGAAGGUGCUGAAUGCUAACAAAGAUUUUAAGGUGUAGAAUGAUACAGAGUCAAAAUCCAAAAAUUACUCUGAUUACAUAUCAUAUGUUUUAACUCACAGGUUUUGUUCCCACCUCAGUCAACGUUAGCUUGGAUGGAGCCCAAUGUUACUCAAGUAUGAUGCUGUACAGCUAAAGAAGACAGUCUUGCUAAAGUCUGAAUGUUAAGUGUUUGAUAACACUUGCAACCAUCUGACAGAAACCUAAAAUACCGUUAGCAAAAAAUUCACGGAACCAAACCAAAUAGAUCAUUCCAGCAUUGAGCUAAUACCUGGUUAAUAAUCAUAUCAAAUCCAGUCCUCUGCCACUGUGUCAGCUGGAAAAGUGUACCACUACUGACCAGGAUGUCCAAAGAAAGUGAGUGUCAUGUGACCAUCAUGGACCCUAUUUUCGGUCAGGUUGUGUGUCCAAACGCGUGCCAAAGAAGCUCAUCAGAUCAGAUAUAGAUUAGAAUAUAUCGAUAUAGAUCUAAAUGUUUGUGCUGACUCAGAUUAAUAGUUAUUGUUGAUUAUUUAUGGCACUGAAAUGUGCCUGACACUGUGGAAACCUGCCGGUGAGGCAUCGGUGACAAAUGCGCACUAUGCCGCCAGUCUACCAAAAUACCACUAGACCAGCUGCGCUCCACCUGCGCUGAAAGCUGACUAGGUUUCAAUCGGCGAGCUUUCAGCGCACUUUACACACCAGUGGCGAGCACGAAAAUAUCACUGCGCCAGCUGAUUCUGUCGACACCUCCCCCUGCCACGCCACCACGCCCAGCUUGGCGGACCUUGGUGCGCCUAAGUCUACGAAAAUACCAAACUGGCUGUACGCCUGGCUCUGCCAGACGAAAAUACCAAUGUGUGGGGUCCAACACCCUCUGCCGCAUUGCUGGCGGGCACGAAAAUAGAGUCCUAUUGAUUGCCCCAUGUUUUGGUGAGUCCAACAACUGGAUUACAAUCACUUUGAAUAUUUUGUGCAUGAGUACGGUAUUUUUCCCACUUUAACUCCUCUUGAGUUUUACACUCACUCUUGGAAGCUGAUAAAAUUGCUCUCUUCUGCUUUUGAACAGUAAGUGACUCAUCCCAGCAGAGCAGAGUAUGGGGUUCCUGGAGGAAGAAAAUAUCCUCCUGCUGUGCCAAGUUUAAGGAUGGGUGCAGCAGGUUGGGUCUUUGUUGGAGUGUAAAUAAGUUCUUUCAGAUGUAAUUCACAGACAGCUCACUGUACCUCCACCUUUCUCUAACUUUUCAGGUUGAAUGCUCCAGGCCUCUGUAAACUUUGCAAUGCAAGAUUAAUUUAGGCCGAACCACAUUCAUGAUUUAUUCAGUUCUACUUUUCUGUUUGUUACACAAUUGUUUAGCUGGUUGAGCAGAAUUCCAGGAAUCCUGGGUGGAAAGUCAAACAAGAAAAAAUAAAUAUUGACAUUUCCAUGAAAUGGCUUUUGUAGAAAUCUAUAUAUGGAGGGUUAGGGUGGCGUAUAUGUGGAGGGUUUGUUCUGGGUUGUCCAUUUUACAGGAAGACAGUAACUAGAUGUUGUAGAAUGGUAUGACGGGCAUAUCUAUCAUGUAUUUACUUUGUAUUACCACACUUACUCAUGAUUAAGAGUCCUGCCUUCAAUGUUUACAAGUGUGUUUUUUGAAAGGGCUGUACUGGAUUUGUUUUUAGCACACAAAAGUUGUUGGUGAUGCUGCUUUACCGUCCGAAAACUGGGUGAGUCAUGGCAUUUUAGGACCAGUGUUUCCUCUUCCUAACUGUGAGGGUCCUAUCUAAACAAUUUAAAGAGUGCAGUUGAAGAACAAAUCAGGGCAUGUCCAAUUUCAGUAUCUUAAAUAAAUGACAAGUAAUCUGGGUCCAAAGUGAGGUGUAGGAGGCAAUGAGACGAGACUCUCUUAAAUCCAUUGGUUAUUGUCAAAUAAUCACAGAUUGUCCAGAUUAGAGCCUGUGAAUGCAUGCAGUACUGCAGUGUUAUGCCAUUAACAAAAACACAAAACAUCAUUAAAUUCCCUUUACCUUGUAUUUAAUGGAAUGUUUUAUAAAUCAAAUUGAGGAAAAAUGCAUUAAAUAUUAUUUUUCUUAAAAUUACCACAAAAAAAAAAAAGUAGGCCCAUCAUUCAUUGCAUUUUUCUGCCCUCGGCUUUCCUUGAACAAUGUCAGCAGCCUCUUAAACAAAAUUUUAAACCACAUUUGAUAAAAGUUAAAGGGCAUUCAUAAUUUACUCUAAAGUAGGAGUGCUUAAGUCGCAUUCUCCAUAUGAAAGCAACGGUUCUGAGGAGUCUGAUCACUCUUUAAGAUCUCAGUCAGACAUUCAAGCGUUGCACUGCUAUACAGCCCUGACUUUGAAGAUGUGAAGAUUUUACUUGAAUAUAUUCUGUCUGUCCCGAUCUCACGCCUCACUGUUGCCUCGUAUGUUUCUACUCAGAAAUAUAGAUUGGCCUGCUCACUGAGGUGUACAAUGCAAGCUGUAGAGGAGGGACUAGUAUGCAUGAGGGAAAAUCUGGAAUGACAAGGGAGUUAAGUUCAUCAUCCAUGGCCAGCCUUCCAACCUUUGGCUGAACUGCAGGGUAUAUCAGUAAGAGCUGGUCAGUCAUGGUCAAAUAAUGUCCAGAAGCCAUGGGCAGUAAUAGUGUAGUAUGUCACAUAUAGGAGCUAAAUGAUAUGUCACAUAUCACUGGAUUUCAAAAGAGAAAAAUGUUGAAAGUCAGCUGUAUUGUAGAAAAGGAAUAAAAGAAGCAACAGUGGAUGACGACACUGCAAUAGAAAAAGCAGUGACGAUAAAACACUUGAUGAAUCUGGAUUUUUAUGGUGACUGCCGUUUGAGUGCUCUACUGAUUGUCAUCUGUCAUUAUGAGAGACAGAUGUUAGCCUUGCUCUUCUGUAGAGCUGACUCUUUUCUGUCAGAUUACUCAAAGGCUUUCCUUCUGGAGCCAUUAGAGCUCUGUUUCUUUUCUGGCUUUUGUGUCCGAGCACUUUUUGGAGAUUGAGAACACAGUUGAGGGUAAAUGGGAACAGACAAUAAUGAAUACGAGGAAGCUCGCCAAGCACGUACAUCUGCCAAGGCUGUCCAAUUCUGUGAGCAUGACAAGGAUACAGUGAAAACAGGCUGGAUUGU